Molecule: long non-coding RNA, 1398 nt
Filed under: Strigops habroptila (Kakapo)
Lineage: Eukaryota; Metazoa; Chordata; Aves; Psittaciformes; Psittacidae
Description: lncRNA (ENSSHBG00005021322.1)
Source: RNAcentral
UUUUUUUUUUUUUUUUAGUAUUGCUGUGUUGGAAUUUUGAAAAGAGAAAUUAAAGAGAAAUAAAUUGUACAUAUUUCUAGUGUGUACAAGAAUCGCUCACAACUUGUUUCUCUUUGCCCAGUAAAUAAUUUGGCCACCCCACUGUAUUUUAACAUAGGAUACUGAUGUUUUAAGAACUGAGUAAUGUGUAGUGCCUUCUAGUAAUAAAAUAAUUUCUUAAUAAUUAAUUCUUAGAAUAACUGUAAGUACUUCAAGUAAAUUCUCUCUUGGUGACUGGGAGCAUUUUAGACAAAAUAGGCUUGCUGAAAGUUUUGCUGUGUAUAGAGACUUUCAACUAUAGCAAAUAAGGAGAGGAAAAAAAGUGUUCACUGUAUGUAUAAUAAUUUUCUUAUAGGUUAGAAAUGAAUAUUAAAUAAUAAAUACUUAAAUUUUAUUAUGCAAACAGUAGGUAGUUCUUCUAUAGUUAUAUUCAUAAUUGAAUCCUUAGUGCUGUGGGAUUCUGCUGUAGACACUUCUGCAGUUUAACUUGCAAAGUGGUUCUAGACAAAAAGAAGUGGAAUAGGUAAUUAAUAAAAGCAGCAGAGAGUUGUUAGCUUCAUUUUCAGGAAUUUUGGCUGUGUGCUUGCAGAUGCAGAUAUCGCAUGUUUCUCAGUUGCUGUUGGCCACCCUGCCAUGUAGGAAUGAGGUGUCAUGGAUACUAAUUAAGUCUGAGGAGUCAUCAAACUUAAGAAACCUGUCUACCCCUUUUAUCUAAUGCUGUUCCAUAUGUCUCUCUUUGGAAAGCAGUGUUAGCCCAGAACAGAAAACAAGAAAAAUAACACAGAUGGAAAGGACCAAAUCCUACUGCUGCUCUUCCACAACCUUUUUAAUAUUUGAGAACAGGCUGCAGAGCACAGGAUAUUUUUCAGUAUUCUAUAUCUAUCCUUUCCAGUCUCAGAUGUAGGACAUGUUUUGGCACUAAUGAAAUUCACAUUCAAAAUUGCAUAGCCUAAGAGAACACAAUUCAUGUCUAUGUUUAAUGUUGUUUAUUAGGAUCUUAUUUUUUCCCCUAACGCAAACAUCUUUAAAAGAAUCAACUUAAACUUACUGAUUCCAAGUAGAUAUGAUCUGUACUUCCCUUUGGCUGUGUGGCAAGGGUGGAUUUGCCAGCUUAAGGAGGGUUACUCUUUCUUAAAGUGGGGACCCUGUUGCUAUGUUACCAGUAUGUUCCAAAGAGAAUUCUGUCAGUUGUCUAUGAAGGAGUCUCCCCUGGUUGUAGGCUGUGUUACUGUUUCAGUAGUGAUGAUGUUCUCUCUUUUCUCUAUCUCUUUUUGCUUAUUUUUUUCUUGCCAAAGUACUUCCUAUCUCAAAAUGUAUGAAAACAAGACUAUAGAAAGAUAUCAAAGAAGCACACAAAAA